UUUAUUGGAGAGUUUGAUCCUGGCUCAGGAUGAACGCUGGCGGCGUGCCUAAUACAUGCAAGUCGAGCGGAUGGAUUAAGAGCUUGCUCUUAUGAAGUUAGCGGCGGAC
This 109-nucleotide ribosomal RNA is filed under the name Bacillus anthracis (anthrax bacterium). Its description in RNAcentral is "partial 16S ribosomal RNA". It matches the Rfam family "Bacterial small subunit ribosomal RNA", at positions 1 to 103 of the family's 1533-position model. The record is from RNAcentral. Lineage: Bacteria; Bacillati; Bacillota; Bacilli; Caryophanales; Bacillaceae.